UCCCCGGAGGACUAGGGGUUAGGCCUCAGCGCUUUCACCCCCGUGGCCCAGGUUCAAUUCCUGGCCAGGGAA
Non-coding RNA from Pangasianodon gigas (Mekong giant catfish), 72 nucleotides. The record is from the annotation of a GenBank genome assembly. Lineage: Eukaryota; Metazoa; Chordata; Actinopteri; Siluriformes; Pangasiidae.